UGCGGGUAUGGCGUAAUUGGCAGGCGCGCUAGGUUCAAACCCUAGUGGUAGAGAUACCGUAUCGGUUCAAGUCCGAUUAUCCGCACCAA
Molecule: transfer RNA, 89 nt
Filed under: Pseudomonas phage Astolliot
Lineage: Duplodnaviria; Heunggongvirae; Uroviricota; Caudoviricetes; Vandenendeviridae
Description: tRNA-Leu
Rfam family: tRNA
About the family: Transfer RNA (tRNA) molecules are approximately 80 nucleotides in length.
Source: RNAcentral